RNAcentral lists this long non-coding RNA (1896 nucleotides) under Homo sapiens (human). RNAcentral's name for it is "non-protein coding lnc-ENGASE-4:1". The record is from RNAcentral. Lineage: Eukaryota; Metazoa; Chordata; Mammalia; Primates; Hominidae.
GCCCCUGCUGGGGAGAGGGGGAGUUCUGGGAGGAAGACCCCCAGAGGAGCCCGGCAAUCAGACCCUAACCAGAGACGGAAGCCCCCUCCCACCUCUGAAGGGGCUCCUAGGCCGGCUCACACACGCCAGGUCAGGGCCGGGAGCCGAGAUGCAGGGAGGUCAGGGAACAGGGUUCCAUUCUGCCUGCAGGCUCAGGGAAUGUCUUUGGGGAAGUGGUCGCUGAGGCUGGCCUUGAACCUGAAUGGGAGCAGAGUCAGCAAAGCACAGCAGAGCUCAGCCCAUGGGGUGACCAGCGGUGAGCUUGACCCUCGCGAUUCUGACUCCCAGGGGCCAUCCGUCCCUUCUCCACGGCUGCCAUGGCUCCUGCGGCCUCAGCCUGCUCUGCGGACCCCCUGCUGGACCCACAGUCCAGCUGCUUGGUGUGGGCCCCACAGGCACCUGUGCGGGGUCAGGCCCUCCCAGUGGGGCUCCAGGGCCCUUGAGCCCUUCUCCUGGUGAUGGGGCUGGACUGUGGCCCUGGAGUUCCAUGCUGCAGGGUAGAUUGUGUCUGGACCCAGAGGUCAGGCUGGGAAGGGGUACCCGGAUGUGGGGUUGCCCCUGCCUGGGAAGUGUUCCUGGGCUGAGGCUGCUGGCUGGGCACAGGGGAAAAGUUCACCCUACACGGAAAGCACAACAAAUUCACACAGAUUUCCAAACCACUUCUGCGCAAGCCUAGAGGCUGAUGAUCCGGGGAUAUGCAGCCUUCUCCAAAGUGUGUGCAUGUGCGUGCGCGUGCACACACACACAAAGACACACAGACACACACACAUACCCUAAACCUUUCCUUCUUCUCCCAGUUCCGCCCAGUUGAGCUAGGAUGGCCCGGUCCUCCCCUCACUGUGAGGGCCCCUUCCUGCUUGGCCUCGCCUGGUACUGCCCCUUCAGGCCUGUCUGGCCCAGACCCCUACCCUGAUUUUUCAUUUCCUUUGCCAAAAGGCACAGGGGCUCGCAGAGGAAGGUGGGGGAGGCUGCAGAGUGGGGGCGCCUACUCUCCCCAGGGCCUCUGCAAGCUGCUCGUGUCUGGGCUCAGAGCUCCGGGGAGGUCGGCUGGGGCUCACAGCCAUGCUUCACCACUCCUUCCCAGGGUCCGGUUUCCCACACCUGAUUUUGUUUGGGAAGCGGGAGGAGUAAAGGCACAGGAUAAGGGGGAGGGGAGCUUGUGGGGCUGGGGCUGGUGUGCUGGGUUCCUGGGAGCCAUCUGAAGUUUGGGCUAGUGUAUCCCCUGCCGGGUAUUACUGGAGGCUGGGCCCAGCCCCCUGUCCCAGCCCCCUGUCCCAGCCCCACCGUCUGCAUCCGAGGCCCACCUAGAACAGUCUGGCCGACAGCCAGCACUUCCUGUCUGGGGACACCUCCAACCGGCACCCCUGCCUGCUGGGCCCUGGGGGAAGGGUGGCAUGGCCUGGGAAGGCACGGGGUGGGGGGGUGGGGGGAGCACGCUGAGCUUCCCAACAUUUCAGCCCCAGAUCUGCCCAGAGUGAGAAAGCAACACGCAGUCCACGCUUGGUACAUACCCAAAAAUACAUCAUCAUUUCGGAACCGCGGCUCCACAGCAGGCUCCCGGGGAGGAGGGGAGGAGACCCAAUCAGGGAAGCGGCCGCUGGCGGCAGGUUGGUGGGGGUAGGGGCUUGGUCCCCCAACGCUGGCACUCAGUUUAGCUGUCACUUGCAGCUGUCUUAGGAAGUGCGGCUCUCCUCUCUGCCUCCCGCUCGCUCCUGCUCACUCCAGGUCCUCUCUCCCUCUCCCUGUGUCUCUGCCUCUCGCUUUAUUUCCCCAGGUUGCUCAGCUCCGUGCCUGCUCUCCGCUCGCCCAUCGAUGGGGUCCUGCCCGGCACUGCCCUGUCGCAGUCACUCCUGCUGC